This 85-nucleotide transfer RNA is filed under the name Acidimicrobiaceae bacterium. RNAcentral's name for it is "tRNA-Ser". It matches the Rfam family "tRNA". Rfam says of the family: Transfer RNA (tRNA) molecules are approximately 80 nucleotides in length. Lineage: Bacteria; Bacillati; Actinomycetota; Acidimicrobiia; Acidimicrobiales; Acidimicrobiaceae. The record is from RNAcentral.
GGAGGGGUGGCAGAGCGGACGAAUGCGACGGUCUUGAACACCGUUGAGGCGCAAGCCUCCGGGGGUUCGAAUCCCCCUCCCUCCG